This 508-nucleotide antisense RNA is filed under the name Streptomyces sp. MnatMP-M17. Its description in RNAcentral is "Saccharopolyspora sRNA 350". It matches the Rfam family "Saccharopolyspora sRNA 350". Lineage: Bacteria; Bacillati; Actinomycetota; Actinomycetes; Kitasatosporales; Streptomycetaceae. The record is from Rfam by way of RNAcentral.
GCGCCGUGUAUCCCCAGGUGGCCUCCCCGUCCACCAGGGCCUGGUCGCCCAAGUACGCGCCGUCGGCGAGCACUUCGAGGACCGCCUCGCCCCCGUACGGGCCCGUGCCCACCUUCUCGACCCGGCCGUGCGCCAGGAGAUAGACCCGGUCCGCCGGGUCGCCGGCGGCGGCCAGGACCUCGCCCGCCGCGAACUCCCGCUGCUCGCACCGGCGUGCCAGCUCCGUGAGCACCUCUUCGUCGCCGUACUCGCGCAGCGCCGGCAACUCCCCCAGCUCGGCGGGAAUGACCGUCACCCGGUCUCCGGUCUGCACGAAGGUCACUCGUCCGUCACCGACGGCAUAACUGAGUCGGCGGUUGACCCGAUAGGUGCCGCCCUGCACCUGGACCCACGGCAGCAUCCGCAGCAGCCACCGCGAGGUGAUCUCCUGCAUCUGCGGUACCGAUUUGGUGGUGGUCGCCAGGUUCCGGGCGGCGGCCGUUCCCAGACUCUGCUGGGGCGGCGACUG